RNAcentral lists this ribosomal RNA (484 nucleotides) under uncultured bacterium. RNAcentral's name for it is "partial 16S ribosomal RNA". It matches the Rfam family "Bacterial small subunit ribosomal RNA", at positions 30 to 507 of the family's 1533-position model. The record is from RNAcentral.
AUUGAACGCUGGCGGCAGGCCUAACACAUGCAAGUCGAGCGGAUGAAGGGAGCUUGCUCCUGGAUUCAGCGGCGGACGGGUGAGUAAUGCCUAGGAAUCUGCCUGGUAGUGGGGGAUAACGUCCGGAAACGGGCGCUAAUACCGCAUACGUCCUGAGGGAGAAAGUAGGGGAUCUUCGGACCUCACGCUAUCAGAUGAGCCUAGGUCGGAUUAGCAAGUUGGUGGGGUAAAGGCCUACCAAGGCGACGAUCCGUAACUGGUCUGAGAGGAUGAUCAGUCACACUGGAACUGAGACACGGUCCAGACUCCUACGGGAGGCAGCAGUGGGGAAUAUUGGACAAUGGGCGAAAGCCUGAUCCAGCCAUGCCGCGUGUGUGAAGAAGGUCUUCGGAUUGUAAAGCACUUUAAGUUGGGAGGAAGGGCAGUAAGUUAAUACCUUGCUGUUUUGACGUUACCAACAGAAUAAGCACCGGCUAACUUCGUG